This 468-nucleotide ribosomal RNA is filed under the name uncultured bacterium. RNAcentral describes it as "partial 16S ribosomal RNA". It matches the Rfam family "Bacterial small subunit ribosomal RNA", at positions 28 to 507 of the family's 1533-position model. The record is from RNAcentral.
GACGAACGCUGGCGGCGUGCUUAACACAUGCAAGUCGAACGGAAAGGCCCUGCUUUUGUGGGGUGCUCGAGUGGCGAACGGGUGAGUAACACGUGAGUAACCUGCCCUUGACUUUGGGAUAACUUCAGGAAACUGGGGCUAAUACCGGAUAGGAGCUCCUGCUGCAUGGUGGGGGUUGGAAAGGUUCGGCGGUUGGGGAUGGACUCGCGGCUUAUCAGCUUGUUGGUGGGGUAGUGGCUUACCAAGGCUUUGACGGGUAGCCGGCCUGAGAGGGUGACCGGCCACAUUGGGACUGCGAUACGGCCCAGACUCCUACGGGAGGCAGCAGUGGGGAAUAUUGCACAAUGGGCGGAAGCCUGAUGCAGCAACGCCGCGUGCGGGAUGACGGCCUUCGGGUUGUAAACCGCUUUCGCCUGUGACGAAGCGUGAGUGACGGUAAUGGGUAAAGAAGCACCGGCUAACUACGUG